Molecule: long non-coding RNA, 609 nt
Organism: Prunus dulcis (almond)
Lineage: Eukaryota; Viridiplantae; Streptophyta; Magnoliopsida; Rosales; Rosaceae
Exons: 3
Source: RefSeq, a predicted model, not a curated record
ACAUGGGUUGCUUCCUCCACUCCACAUCACAAAGCUUAAGUCUCCCUUUUAUCUUUCUGUUGCUGUUUUCACAGGUGCAGCUUACCUUUACCCAUUUGCAGCAAAUACAUAUAGGAGAGGAGGAGAUUAAAAUUUAGCCAAAGUUAAUGCAGAAACUUUUUGAACAAAAAGAUUUCUUCUUUCGUACCAAUUCAGAAAGAGGGGGCCCAACUUACCAUGGUGGUUACACGUGGGAGUGAGUCAGCAAAGGGACACCAACAGAAGCCCUAAGUUGAGAAGUUUGGUGAAUGAUCACAACCACUCAAUUUGAAGGACCAACCAAAUUUCACCAACCAACAACGUAUCUUGUGCGGCCUCAUGCUUAACUAAGGUUUAGCCAAAAAGAUUAUAAUCAAGCCAGGGUGCGCUCCAUGCAAUGCAUUGCAUUGGUUGGGAUGGGCGGUUAGAAGAAUCUUGAUGAUUACUUAGCCUGGUUAGUAAAGUAAUCAUAAUCAACCACCCAAUUAUUUUUGGAUUUGUUUGUUGCUAGUACUAAAUACACAUGAUCUUCUGAAUCAUUUGAUGAUCCCGCAAACAUAUAAAUAUUACAGCAUUAUUCAAUAUUCAAUA